Molecule: ribosomal RNA, 468 nt
Filed under: uncultured bacterium
Lineage: Bacteria
Description: partial 16S ribosomal RNA
Rfam family: Bacterial small subunit ribosomal RNA
Source: RNAcentral
GACGAACGCUGGCGGCGUGCUUAACACAUGCAAGUCGAACGGAAAGGCCCUGCUUUUGUGGGGUGCUCGAGUGGCGAACGGGUGAGUAACACGUGAGUAACCUGUCCCUGACUUUGGGGUAACUUCAGGAAACUGGGGCUCAUACCGGCUAGGAGCUCUUGCUGCAUGGUGGGGGUUGGAAAGUUUCGGCGGUUGGGGAUGGACUCGCGGCUUAUCAGCUUGUUGGGGGGGUAGUGGCGUACCAAGGUUUUGCCGGGUAGCCGGCCUGGGAGGGGGACCGGCCACAUUAGGACUGAGAUAAGGCCCAGACUCCAACGGGACGCAACGGUGGAGAAUAUAGCACAGUAGGCGGAGGGCAGAUGUAACAACGCCGCGUGCGGGAAGAGAGCCUUCGGGUUGUGAACCACUGUCGCCUGUGACGAGGCGUGAGUGACGGUAAUGGGUGAAGAAGCACCGGCUAACUACGUG